This 478-nucleotide ribosomal RNA is filed under the name uncultured bacterium. Its description in RNAcentral is "partial 16S ribosomal RNA". It matches the Rfam family "Bacterial small subunit ribosomal RNA", at positions 28 to 523 of the family's 1533-position model. The record is from RNAcentral.
GACGAACGCUGGCGGCGUGCUUAACACAUGCAAGUCGAACGGUAAGGCCCUUCGGGGUACACGAGUGGCGAACGGGUGUGUAACACGUGGGUGAUCUGCCCUGCACUUCCGGAUAAGCCUGGGAAACUGGGUCUAAUACCGGAUAUGAACACUGCCUGCAUGGGUGGUGGUGGAAAGCUUUUGCGGUGUGGGAUGGGCCCGCGGCCUAUCAGCUUGUUGGUGGGGUGAUGGCCUACCAAGGCGACGACGGGUAGCCGGCCUGAGAGGGUGACCGGCCACACUGGGACUGAGAUACGGCCCAGACUCCUACGGGAGGCAGCAGUGGGGAAUAUUGCACAAUGGGCGCAAGCCUGAUGCAGCGACGCCGCGUGAGGGAUAACGGCCUUCGGGUUGUAAACCUCUUUCAGCACCGACGAAGCGCAAGUGACGGUAGGUGCAGAAGAAGGACCGGCCAACUACGUGCCAGCAGCCGCGGUAA